This 602-nucleotide ribosomal RNA is filed under the name Hylarana lacrima (crying stream frog). RNAcentral's name for it is "partial 16S ribosomal RNA". The stretch from base 347 to 594 matches the Rfam family "Archaeal large subunit ribosomal RNA", at positions 1787 to 2143 of the family's 2987-position model. Lineage: Eukaryota; Metazoa; Chordata; Amphibia; Anura; Ranidae. The record is from RNAcentral.
UUAUUUGAAAUAGGAUACAACCUAUAACACUGGGUAAAUAAAAGUAAUUUAAACAAAGUGGGCCUAAGAGCAGCCAUCUUUUAAAAAGCGUCACAGCUUAACUUCCCUUAUACUUAUAAUUAGUAUACCUCCCCUCAACCCUUCACCAAUACUGAACUUUUUUAUAUUAUUAUAAAAAUUAUUAUGCUAGAACUAGUAACAAGAAAUUGCCCUUCUCCUAAAUGUAAACAUAAGUCAUAACGGACUCCCCAUUGACACUUAACGUAAUUGUAUACUUAUAUAGUAACACUCAUCAAGAAAACCCUAUAAUUUAAAACGUUAACCUUACACUAGAACAUUACAGGAAAGAUUAAAAGAGAGAGAAGGAACUCGGCAAAUUUUAGCCCCGCCUGUUUACCAAAAACAUCGCCUCUUGAUUCCUAUAAGAGGUCCAGCCUGCCCGGUGACAAAGUUUAACGGCCGCGGUACCCUAACCGUGCAAAGGUAGCAUAAUCACUUGUUCUCUAAAUAAGGACUAGUAUCAACGGCAUCACGAGGGCUAUACUGUCUCCUCUCCCUAAUCAGUGAAACUGAUCUCCCCGUGAAGAAGCGGGGAUAUACUU